Molecule: ribosomal RNA, 433 nt
Filed under: uncultured bacterium
Lineage: Bacteria
Description: partial 16S ribosomal RNA
Rfam family: Bacterial small subunit ribosomal RNA
Source: RNAcentral
AACGAACGCUGGCGGCAUGCCUAACACAUGCAAGUCGAACGAGACCUUCGGGUCUAGUGGCGCACGGGUGCGUACCGCGUGGUAACCUGCCCUUAGGUUCGGAAUAACUCCCCGAAAGGGGUGCUAAUACCGGAUAAUGUCUUCGGACCAAAGAUUUAUCGCCUUUGGAUGGGCCCGCGUUGGAUUCGCUAGUUGGUAGGGUAAAAGCCUACCAAGGCGACGAUCCAUAGCUGGUCUGAGAGGAUGAUCAGCCACACUGGGACUAAGACACGGCCCAGACUCCUACGGGAGGCAGCAGUGGGGAAUAUUGGACAAUGGACGAAAGCCUGAUCCAGCAAUGCGGCGUGAGUGAUGAAGGCCUUAGGAUUGUAAAUCUCUUUUACCCGGGAUGAUAAUGACAGUACCGGGAGAAUAAGCUCCGGCUAACUCCGUG